This is a long non-coding RNA of Erpetoichthys calabaricus (reedfish), 232 nucleotides long. RefSeq lists it as uncharacterized. The record is from RefSeq and is a predicted model, not a curated record. The transcript has 3 exons. NCBI's taxonomy places the organism in Eukaryota, Metazoa, Chordata, Cladistia, Polypteriformes, Polypteridae.
UUACGCGCGCCUUUAUUCACCACGCCCAAUUGAGGUCGCCCUUUUGAAGCUCGCCUUUAUUUACGCGCGCCUUUAUUCGCCGCGCCCAAUUGAGGUAGCCCUUUUGAAGCUCGCCUUUAUUUACGCGCGCCUUUAUUCGCUGCGCCCAACUAAGGUCGCCCUUUUGAAGCUCGCCUUUAUUUACGCGCGCCUUUAUUCGCCGCGCCCAAUUGAGGUCGCCCUUUUGAAGCUC